RNAcentral lists this ribosomal RNA (253 nucleotides) under uncultured bacterium. RNAcentral's name for it is "partial 16S ribosomal RNA". It matches the Rfam family "Bacterial small subunit ribosomal RNA", at positions 524 to 776 of the family's 1533-position model. The record is from RNAcentral.
UACGGAGGGUCCAAGCGUUGUCCGGAAUCACUGGGUGUAAAGGGUGCGCAGGCGGGCCUGUAAGUCAGAGGUGAAAGCCCACGGCUCAACCGUGGAACUGCCUUUGAUACUGCAGGUCUUGAGUCCUGGAGAGGCUAUCGGAAUUCGUGGUGUAGCGGUGAAAUGCGUAGAUAUCACGAGGAACACCGGAUGCGUAGGCGGAUAGCUGGACAGGUACUGACGCUCAGGCACGAAAGCGUGGGGAGCAAACAGG